GUAACCUGCCUCAUACAGGGGGAUAACAGUUAGAAAUGGCUGCUAAUACCGCAUAAGACCACAGUACUGCAUGGUACAGUGGUAAAAACUCCGGUGGUAUGAGAUGGACCCGCGUCUGAUUAGGUAGUUGGUGAGGUAACGGCCCACCAAGCCGACGAUCAGUAGCCGACCUGAGAGGGUGACCGGCCACAUUGGGACUGAGACACGGCCCAGACUCCUACGGGAGGCAGCAGUGGGGAAUAUUGCACAAUGGGCGAAAGCCUGAUGCAGCGACGCCGCGUGAAGGAUGAAGUAUUUCGGUAUGUAAACUUCUAUCAGCAGGGAAGAAAAUGACGGUACCUGACUAAGAAGCCCCGGCUAACUACGUGCCAGCAGCCGCGGUAAUACGUAGGGGGCAAGCGUUAUCCGGAUUUACUGGGUGUAAAGGGAGCGUAGACGGCUGUGCAAGUCUGAAGUGAAAGGCAUGGGCUCAACCUGUGGACUGCUUUGGAAACUGUGCAGCUAGAGUGUCGGAGAGGUAAGUGGGAAUUCCUAGUGUAGCGGUGAAAUGCGUAGAUAUUAGGAGGAACACCAGUGGCGACGCGGCUUACUGGACGAUGACUGAC
RNAcentral lists this ribosomal RNA (605 nucleotides) under uncultured bacterium. RNAcentral's name for it is "bacterial SSU rRNA". It matches the Rfam family "Bacterial small subunit ribosomal RNA", at positions 121 to 744 of the family's 1533-position model. The record is from RNAcentral.